RNAcentral lists this ribosomal RNA (460 nucleotides) under uncultured bacterium. Its description in RNAcentral is "partial 16S ribosomal RNA". It matches the Rfam family "Bacterial small subunit ribosomal RNA", at positions 338 to 795 of the family's 1533-position model. The record is from RNAcentral.
CCUACGGGUGGCUGCAGUGAGGAAUAUUGGUCAAUGGACGCAAGUCUGAACCAGCCAUGCCGCGUGCAGGAUGACGGUUCCAUGAGUUGUAAACUUCUUUUGUACGACGGCAAUAUCAGACACGAGUACCUGCUCGAGAGUACUUUACGAAUAAGGAUCGGCUAACUCCGUGCCAGCAGCCGCGGUAAUACGGAGGAUCCAAGCGUUAUCCGGAUUUAUUGGGUUUAAAGGGUGCGUAGGCGGUAUUUUAAGUUAGCGGUGAAAAUUCGGGGCUCAACCCCGGCCGAGCCUUUAAUACUGGAUGACUAGAGAAGAGGUGCGGUAGGCGGAAUGUGUAGUGUAGCGGUGAAAUGCGUAGAGAUCAUACAGAACACCGAUUGCGAAGGCAGCUUACCGACCGAUAUCUGACGUUGAGGCACGAAAGCGUGGGGAGCGAACAGGAUUAGAUACCCUGGUAGUC